Non-coding RNA from Elaeis guineensis (African oil palm), 5106 nucleotides. Lineage: Eukaryota; Viridiplantae; Streptophyta; Magnoliopsida; Arecales; Arecaceae. The record is from RefSeq and is a predicted model, not a curated record.
AUUGAAGCCUUUCGGCUCUCUCUUCCCUGAUCCCCGCUCUCGUCCUCCAGAGAUGGGCAUGAUAUAGACGAAGAGGGAAGAGCCGAUUUCUCUCUCUUUUUCUGUCUCUCGUGUUAUUGGCUUCGCCCUCGCUUCGCUUGCAAGCUACCGCCAACCCGGAGCGCUCGAUCCCGGCGAAUUCUUGCCGCCAGAUCCGUCUGCCGCCGGGCGAUCGAAGGGGUGAGGCGGGGAGGGGGGCUUUGGUGUAAAUCUUCGUUUUCUCCUCCGUUCGUUUGAUGAGUAGAUGAAAACGGCCCGGGAGGAGGCGUUCAUGAGUUCCCAGCUCAAGCGGCCCAACAUAUCUCGAGCGGAUCCAAGCUCUGGGCAAACCCACAUGGCGCUGGCACCGGCGGCCUGUAGUGCUCCGAAGCUGACGACAAACGAUGCCCUAGCUUAUUUGAAGGCUGUGAAGGAUAUGUUUCAGGAGAGAAGGGACAAAUAUGAUGAAUUUCUUGAAGUCAUGAAGGACUUCAAGAGCCAAAGAAUUGAUACGAACGGGGUUAUUGUGAGGGUAAAGGAACUGUUUAAGGGGCAUCGAGAUCUGAUCCUGGGCUUUAACACCUUCUUGCCCAAGGGGUAUGAGAUCAAGCUUGCUGAGGAAAAGAAGCCUGUCGAAUUCGAAGAGGCCAUUAAUUUUGUAAACAAAAUAAAGAAUCGUUUCCAGAAUGACGAACAUGUUUACAAGUCAUUCUUGGAUAUUCUGAAUAUGUAUCGGAGGGAGAACAAAUCCAUCCAGGAAGUCUAUCAGGAGGUAGCGGUUCUCUUUCAGAAUCAUCAUGAUCUACUGGAGGAAUUCACACACUUUCUGCCUGAUGCCUCAGCAACAGUCGCUUCACAACAUGGAGCACCUGCUAGACCCUUUAUUCGUCGGGAUGAGAGGAGCUCUGUGAUGGUUGCAAUGAGACACCUUCAUGGGGAUAAGAGGGAAAGAACUUAUAAUUUACAUGCUGAUCGCGACAUCAGCGUUGACCGUCCUGAUCCAGAACAUGACAGGAAAAGAAGACGUUGUGAAAAGGAAAAAGAUAGGAAAGAAGAUAGAGACAGAAGAGAUUGUGAGCGGGAUGAGAAGGAUUUAGAGCAUGACAGCAGAGAUUUGGACAAUGUGCUGCGUAGACGUAAACCUUCUAAUAGAAGGGUAGAUGACUCUGUUGGUGAGCACUUGCAUCAUGGUGGGGAAGGUGCUGAAAACUUUGGAACAUAUAGCAUUUCAGCUUCAUUCUUUGAUGAUAAGAAUGCUCUGAAGAGUAUGUACACUCAAGAAUUUAAUUUCUGUGAGAGAGUCAAGGAGAAGUUGCAUCCUGAAACAUACCAGGAGUUCUUGAAAUGCCUUCACAUAUAUAGCAAGGAAAUUAUUACCAGAACUGAACUGAAGAACCUGGUGAGUGAUAUCCUUGAAAAGUAUCCAGAUCUUAUGGAUGGUUUUAACGAAUUUUUGGCCCAUUGUGAGAACAUAGAUGGAUUUCUUGCAGGCGUGUUCAAUAAAACAUCAUUGCGGAACGAAGGACAUGUGGCUAGACCAGUUAAGCUAGAGGAUAGAGACAGAGACAGGGAGCAUGAAAGGGAUGAGAGGGAGAGAGACCGUGAAAGGGAAAGAGUUGACAAAGUUGCUGCAUAUAAUUCUAAAGACAUGGCAUCUCAGAAGACUCCUUUCUUCUCAAACAAAGAAAAAUAUAAUUUAUGCAAACCGAUUUCGGAGCUUGACCUCUCAAAUUGUCAGCGAUGUAGCCCCAGUUACCGUCUUCUGCCAAAAAAUUAUCCAAUUCCUCCUUCAAGCCACAGGACUGACCUUGGUGCAUCAGUACUGAAUGAUGAAUGGGUAUCAGUGACAUCAGGAAGUGAGGAUUAUUCUUUUAAGCACAUGCGGAAAAACCAAUACGAGGAAAGCUUAUUUAGAUGCGAAGAUGAUAGGUUUGAGCUGGAUAUGUUAUUGGAGUCAGUGAAUGUGACUACUAAGCGAGUUGAGGAAUUGCUAGAAAAGAUUCAGGACAAUACAAUCAAACCAGAGAGUCCAGUUCGCAUUGAAGACCAUUUUACUUCGCUAAACUUGAGAUGCAUUGAAAGAUUAUAUGGUGAUCAUGGCUUGGAUGUGAUGGAUGUUCUACGCAAAAAUGCCAGUCUUGCAUUGCCCGUCAUAUUGACUCGUCUGAAGCAAAAGCAAGAGGAAUGGUCAAGAUGUCGGGCUGAUUUCAAUAAAGUUUGGGCGGAAAUAUAUGCCAAGAACUAUCACAAGUCACUUGACCAUCGUAGUUUCUAUUUCAAGCAACAGGACACAAAGAGCUUGAGCACGAAAGCUUUGUUGUCUGAGAUCAAAGAAAUUAAUGAGAAGAAACGGAAAGAGGAUGAUGUGCUUCUUGCUAUUGCUGCUGGAAAUCGGCGGCCUAUAGUCCCCAAUAUGGAAUUUGAGUAUGUGGAUUUGGAUAUUCAUGAAGACCUGUAUCAGAUCAUUAAAUAUUCAUGUGGAGAAGUUUGUGCAUCCUCAGACCAACUGGACAAAGUAAUGAGAAUAUGGACAAGCUUUUUGGAGCCAAUGUUGGGUGUUCAACCUCGGCCUCAGGGUGCAGAGGAUACUGAGGAUGUGGUGAAACCUAAGACUCGUGCUGUCAAAAAUAGUAUGGCAAAUGUUGGGGAAAGCAAUAGCAGCCCUGGUGCUGAUGGUGCUGCUGUUACCAAGCAAAGCAAUGGUGAUGAAAGCAUUCCACCAGAACAAGCAGUUUCAUGCAGGCUGAGGUUGGCAAAUGGGGAUGCAGCAGUUACUGAUAAUGGUUUUCAUGACGUGGAUCGCACUGCUCGCCGAGGUGAUAAUCUAUCUGGUGCUCCACUUCAUGGAAGGGUGCAGGGCAAUGCUCCCACAGCUGAUGUAAUAUCUGGGGCAACCAUGCAAACCGCUUCUACUGAGAAGUUAACUGAUAAUGUUUCUCCUGCUGGUAGAGCUGAACCAGGUCCUACUAGAAACAACCUGGAAACUAUCUCAGGUGUUUGUGCUACAACUUCCAAAGCUGCUCAGUCAGGAAAUGAGAUGGCAGUUGAACCUCGAUCUAGUAAUGAAGUUUUACCUGCUUCAAAGGGAGUGGACGGUGGGAGGCCAAAUGGACCUGCAAAUGGUGGUUGCACCACUGAAAGUAACAAAUUACAUGGACUUAGUGAAGGUUCUGUUGUCCAUAAUAACUUUAAAGUAGAGAGGGAAGAGGGUGAAUUAUCACCUAAUGGAGAUUUUGAAGAGGAUAAUUUUGUAGCUUUUGAAGAUGCUGCUAUGGGUGCAUCACCUAAACCAAAGGACAGUUCUGCUAGCAGACAGUGUCAAGUCAGACCUGGAGAAGUGGAGGCCUGUUGUGGUGAGGCAGCUGGAGAAAAUGAUGCUGAUGCGGAUGAUGAGGGUGAGGAAAGUGCUCAAAGGUCUACAGAGGACAGUGAAAAUGCAUCAGAGGCUGGUGAGGAUGUUUCAGGCAGUGAAUCUGGUGAUGGGGAGGAGUGUUCUCGUGAAGAUCAUGAGGAAGAGGAGGAAGAUGCAGAUCGUGACGAUCAGGAUGCUAAGGCUGAAAGUGAGGGUGAGGCUGAAGGAAUGGCUGAUGCUAACGAUGCUGAGGGAGACAUAACGUCAAUGCCAUUUUCAGAAUGUAUUCUACAUACAGUUAAGCCUCUUGCAAAACAUGUACCUGCAGCCUUACAUGAUAAGGAAGAUAAAUGCUCAUCGAUCUUUUAUGGAAAUGAUUCAUUUUAUGUGCUGUUUAGGCUUCAUCAGACUUUGUAUGAGAGAAUACUCUCGGCAAAGACAAAUUCAUCAGCUGCUGAAAAGAAAUGGAGAACUUCAAAGGAUACUAACCCUCCAGAUUUAUACGCUAAAUUUAUGAGUGCACUUUACAACCUACUUGAUGGUUCUGCUGACAAUACUAAGUUUGAAGAUGAUUGCCGUGCUAUCAUUGGAACUCAGUCCUAUGUACUUUUUACAUUGGAUAAGUUGAUAUAUAAAGUUGUUAAGCAGCUUCAAGCAAUUGCCUCAGAUGAAAUGGACAACAAGCUUCUUCACCUCUAUUUAUAUGAAAAGUCAAGGAAACCUGGAAAUUUUUUGGAUCUAGUUUAUCAUGAAAAUGCUCGUGUGCUCCUUCAUGAUGAAAGUAUAUAUCGAUUUGAGCGUACUUCAAAUCCAACUAGAUUAUCUAUCCAACUAAUGGAAUAUGGACAUGAAAAGCCUGAAGUGACCGCUGUUUCUAUAGAUCCUAAUUUUUCAGCUUAUCUGUAUAAUGAUUUCUUGUCAAAUGCUUCAGAUCGAAUGGGUACACAUGGUGUCUUCCUGGAAAGGAAUAAACGCAAAUUUGGAAGCGGCGAUGAGUAUUCUACUAGCACGGUCAUGGAUGGGAUUCAAGUUGUCAAUGGCUUGGAAUGCAAGAUAUCAUGUAGUUCCUCUAAGGUUUCUUAUGUUCUAGAUACAGAAGAUUUCUUGUAUCGUGUGAGAAAGAAAAGGAGAUGUUCAAACGGAGGCACUGCAUCUUCACGAGACCUAUUCGCAGUAGUGUAUGAUGUAAAAAGACAACGAUUUCAAGACUUUCAAUCCAGAUUUUAACAUGGCAUUCUCAAAACAAAGUGUACUUUCAUGUCACUGGCUGAGAGCUGGCAUCAAUAUAGCGGGGCGCUUGGCUGCAGCUAAGCCAUGGAUGUCGGAAUACAGCUGGCUUCCUCUCACUCCCUGUUUUGCUCUCUUUGAAAUAACAGCCGAGAAAAUUUCUAGUACACAUGCCAACAAAGCUUGUAACCUGGUUCUAUUGGCUUCUGGAGCCACAAAUGUCUGUCCGUGCACUCUCUUUUUACCUCCGAGACACUCUUCAGGGUGACAGCCAUGCAUUUGCUAUGGUCGAUUAGAUGAAAUGUUGCUUGUAGUCUGAGCACUGUUCUGGAGCAAAGUGGUCUUGGCUAAUCAUGUAGGUCAUCCGGUGUUCAUUUGUAAAUGUGAGACUCUGUGAUGGAGGGUGAUUCUAAGAUAGCGUCAAAAGAGGUAGCGGCUCCCGGUCCGCUGCAUUCAAAACGGAGUUUUUUACUAAAAUAAUUUUAAAAAAAUUUAUUUAUCAAAUGAUA